UCAAUGUAGUUUUUAGAAUACAACGAAAUUCAGACACGCACACAUACAUAUGCGAUAAUAUAUUCGUUCUAGAAUACUUCGAAAUGAAAGAGGAAACAAAAUGCACCGGUUGCCGGUCGUAAAAGAUCGCUCGUGAAUAUGCAACGAAGCGAAUGCUCUGAGAAGCGAAAUGAGUAAUAUAGGAAAGGUAUAAUGAGUGGCUGAUUAUGAUGUAAGCGGUUUAUCCGAGCGUAAUGAUUCGGGGAGCAGAUUGCAGACCGACGAAUACGCCUUUACUUUCUACCUUUACACCCAUUGUCCGCAGCCAUUGUCGGCCAAUGCGACACGAUUAUUCACCGUUCUCCUCGAUGUCUGACCUUUUCCACGUGAUAUUUAUAAGAUUUGCUACACGACGACCGUGACUUUAGGUGAGGUCGUUAUGCAAAUUACGCGACCUUACAUUUAUUAUACCUGUUAAGUACCUACGUCGAAUCGGUGUUUCGGCAGUGUAUAACGCCAUUCGAGAAACAGACGAGCGGAAUGGAUUAGCAUGUAAAAUAGGUUUCCAGGUUAAAAAAGUGCUCGAUUCUUUCAGAUUAGUCAAAGAUUAUUAUUCGAGAAUCGAAUGCUUGUUGCUCUCGAAAAGUUUGUAUAACGUUUCUUGGAAGAGAAUUGUGAUUGGUUGAGAAUAAAAUGUGACAUGUAUCAUCCAAUUAAUCGAGUGAAAUUUUUGUUAGCACGUUGGCAGGAAUGCCUUUACAUGAACAGGAAGGAAGUGGUCGUAUUUCUAACUGCGAUAGAAAGAAACAUGGAAUUGUCACGUAUUUAACAAGAACGAUAACAGUGCGGAUAUAAGAUUUGUGGGACAGUGGCUUGGAUUUGCAUAUUGGGUCGAUGUGAUAUCUUAAUCGUGGUUUACAAUAAAUGUACCUACUUAAAAGUUUAAUAUAUCUCUGAUCAUUUCUAAGAUUUUUUAAAAAUAAAUCCACGAGUAAAAUGAACGAGUACACAUGCACUUGAUAUACUUAUCGACACGUGGCUAUUAUCGAGCAAAAAAAAAGUAAUCAUCGUAUCACCGAUAAUAAUCAUUAAAACUAUAAAAAUGAAUUACUGAAUUUCGAUUGUUUACUAUCGAUAAUUAUAUAUUUACUAGUCAGAUGGUUAAUGUGAUUUCAAUGAUGUAUGGUGCUUCUGCACUCGCACGAAGGCGACAUUCCUCGAUUGCGUGGAGUUAAUACGACUCGAGGGAGCGAUCGUUUCGUCUUUCGAACACGUGUGUUCUUAUCAGUGGUCAUUUUUUUUUCUCAGGACACGAUAACAGUACUCGCAAAGCGUAAUUUCCGUUCAUGGCUUUUCGAGGAAACUUCGCUUUGCGAAAUUACAUGAUUCGUAAUCACGCUCUUUGUCAAAUGGAAAUUACAUCUCUUACAUAGACAAGCCGCUUUAGAGGAUUUAACGUUUUAAAUAUUCCCCUAUCUUUAAAUUUUAUGCAACGAUAAAUAAUAACAGUAAAACUUUAAUUCUAAAAUAAGGAUUACGAGUAUAAACUAUAAGAAUAACGAACGAUAGUUAAAGUUCUGCGAACUUUUUAAACGUCUUCUCUUCUUUCAUCGUUUUGCCAAAGGUAUAAAAUAUAUAAGCAGACGCGUUAACAAUAGGACGGAAUGAGUUGAAAUUAAAUAGUUAUAUAAUAACAUCGAAAACAUCGUUUUUAAGGUACAAAAAGGGAAGGCCGAGGAACACGGUUUAAUGGCGGUGAGCCGGCGUGAAAGGGGGCGCGCAUUUCUAUGUUUUUGUAGAAACCACAAGUGAAUUCGCGGCAACGAUCCGGCGCACCUGCGUUUCGUUUCGCAUGAUAUCACAGCCAUGCGAUAAAUUUUCAUUGCCACGCGUGUAGGAAUAAACUUUUAUUGACCAUUGAACGGUUUGAAUUUAAACGCGCCGCGUAUACGCGCGCAUAACCGCGCGUAACGACUACACACGUAUACGCAACUAUAUCCCCGGGUUUAAAGGACUAUGAAUGUCUAGCACUAUCGUUUAAGAAAAUAUGUCGUUUAUGUUUCGAACGAUUACACGAGUGGUCUACGCGGGAAAAAAUUUCAGGCAAAUUGAAUGUGUGUAAUUUGUAGAGAUGGAAUGCUUGAAUCCUUGAAAUCCGUCGAAAAAAUCCCUUCUCCAAAAACAUUUUCCUACUUUUUGCGAUUCGAAAUUUUGAGGUUAGGCGAAGAAUAAUUUAUAUAAAGAAAUAUUUAUCUCGAAGAAUACUUUGAAACAAGAAUACCGCAUGAUGUCCAUCAAAACGAUGUCAAGAAUAUCCUGCGGUAAUCGUAAGUCAACUUUAUUCAAAUGAAUCGAAACUAGUAUUUAUUGAACGUGCUAUAUAAGGUGCACUUAAAAAAAACAUAUGUGUCAAAUCAUUUGAAUUUCUAACGCGAGAAGGUGUGACCAUCGUUAAUACGACAAUAAUUAUGACGUGCAAAGUUGAAUCCGUGAAUCAAUGGUGUUAAUGCGCAAG
Apis dorsata (giant honeybee) is the source of this 2494-nucleotide long non-coding RNA. RefSeq lists it as uncharacterized. The record is from RefSeq and is a predicted model, not a curated record. NCBI's taxonomy places the organism in Eukaryota, Metazoa, Arthropoda, Insecta, Hymenoptera, Apidae. The transcript has 5 exons.